Molecule: ribosomal RNA, 166 nt
Filed under: Listeria monocytogenes
Lineage: Bacteria; Bacillati; Bacillota; Bacilli; Caryophanales; Listeriaceae
Description: partial 23S ribosomal RNA
Rfam family: Bacterial large subunit ribosomal RNA
Source: RNAcentral
GGAUAAACGCUGAAAGCAUCUAAGCGUGAAGCCCCCCUCAAGAUGAGAUUUCCCAUUUCUUCGGAAAGUAAGAUCCCUGAAAGAUGAUCAGGUAGAUAGGUUUGGAGUGGAAGUGUAGCGAUACAUGGAGCGGACAAAUACUAAUCGAUCGAGGACUUAACCAAAA